RNAcentral lists this transfer RNA (66 nucleotides) under Nippostrongylus brasiliensis. It matches the Rfam family "tRNA". Rfam says of the family: Transfer RNA (tRNA) molecules are approximately 80 nucleotides in length. Their secondary structure includes four short double-helical elements and three loops (D, anti-codon, and T loops). Further hydrogen bonds mediate the characteristic L-shaped molecular structure. tRNAs have two regions of fundamental functional importance: the anti-codon, which is responsible for specific mRNA codon recognition, and the 3' end, to which the tRNAs corresponding amino acid is attached (by aminoacyl-tRNA synthetases). tRNAs cope with the degeneracy of the genetic code in two manners: having more than one tRNA (with a specific anti-codon) for a particular amino acid; and 'wobble' base-pairing, i.e. permitting non-standard base-pairing at the 3rd anti-codon position. The record is from Rfam by way of RNAcentral. Lineage: Eukaryota; Metazoa; Nematoda; Chromadorea; Rhabditida; Heligmosomidae.
GCCUCAGUAGCGUAGUGGUUAACGCACGAUAGGCGCGAGACGCGGGCUCGAAUCCCGUCUGAGAUG